This 648-nucleotide ribosomal RNA is filed under the name uncultured bacterium. RNAcentral describes it as "bacterial SSU rRNA". It matches the Rfam family "Bacterial small subunit ribosomal RNA", at positions 30 to 652 of the family's 1533-position model. The record is from RNAcentral.
UGAACGCUGGCGGCGUGCUUAACACAUGCAAGUCGAACGAGAAAGGGAUUGCUUGCAAUCCUGAGUAGAGUGGCGCACGGGUGAGUAACACGUAGAUAAUCUGCCUUCAAGCCUGGGAUAACUAUUCGAAAGGGUAGCUAAUACCGGAUAAAGUCGAUUCACAUAAGUAAAUUGAUGAAAGAUUGCCUCUUCUUGAAAGCAAUUGUUUGGGGAUGAGUUUGCGUACCAUUAGCUUGUUGGUGGGGUAAAGGCCUACCAAGGCAACGAUGGUUAGCUGGUCUGAGAGGAUGGUCAGCCACACUGGAACUGGAACACGGUCCAGACUCCUACGGGAGGCAGCAGUGAGGAAUUUUGCGCAAUGGGGGCAACCCUGACGCAGCAACGCCGCGUGAGUGAAGAAGGCCUUUGGGUCGUAAAGCUCUGUCAACAAGGAAGAAAUUACAAUUAUUUAAUAGAUAAUUGUAUUGACGGUACUUGUGGAGGAAGCGCCGGCUAACUCCGUGCCAGCAGCCGCGGUAACACGGGGGGCGCAAGCGUUAUUCGGAAUUAUUGGGCGUAAAGGGCGCGCAGGCGGUCUUGUCCGCCAGGUGUGAAAGCUCGGGGCUCAACCCCGGAAGUGCACUUGAAACAGCAAGACUUGAAUACGGG